CGACAGGCUUAACACAUGCAAGUCGAGGGGCAGCGGGGGCGAAGCUUGCUUCGCCUGCCGGCGACCGGCGCACGGGUGAGUAACACGUAUGCGACCUGCCCCCCGCAGGGGGAUAACCGGGAGAAAUCCCGACUAAUACCGCGUAACGCCGCGGGGCUGCAUGGCCCGGCGGCCAAAGGAAGCGAUUCCGGCGGGGGAUGGGCAUGCGGCGCAUUAGCUAGUCGGCGGGGUAACGGCCCACCGAGGCGACGAUGCGUAGGGGUUCUGAGAGGAAGGUCCCCCACACUGGUACUGAGACACGGACCAGACUCCUACGGGAGGCAGCAGUGAGGAAUAUUGGUCAAUGGGCGGGAGCCUGAACCAGCCAAGUCGCGUGAGGGAAGACGGUCCUACGGAUUGUAAACCUCUUUUGCCGGGGAGCAACGGGGUCCUUGCGAGGGCCCGAUGAGAGUACCCGGAGAAAAAGCAUCGGCUAACUCCGUGCCAGCAGCCGCGGUAAUACGGAGGAUGCGAGCGUUAUCCGGAUUUAUUGGGUUUAAAGGGUGCGUAGGCGGGCUGUUAAGUCAGCGGUCAAAUGUCGGGGCUCAACCCCGGCCUGCCGUUGAAACUGGCGGCCUCGAGUGGGCGAGAAGUAUGCGGAAUGCGUGGUGUAGCGGUGAAAUGCAUAGAUAUCACGCAGAACUCCGAUUGCGAAGGCAGCAUACCGGCGCCCGACUGACGCUGAGGCACGAAAGCGUGGGUAUCGAACAGGAUUAGAUACCCUGGUAGUCCACGCAGUAAACGAUGAAUGCUAGCUGUCCGGUUCUACGGGACUGGGUGGCACAGCGAAAGCGUUAAGCAUUCCACCUGGGGAGUACGCCGGCAACGGUGAAACUCAAAGGAAUUGACGGGGGCCCGCACAAGCGGAGGAACAUGUGGUUUAAUUCGAUGAUACGCGAGGAACCUUACCCGGGCUCAAACGCCAAAGGACAGCCGUUGAAAGGCGGCCUCCCUCCGGGGUCUUUGGCGAGGUGCUGCAUGGUUGUCGUCAGCUCGUGCCGUGAGGUGUCGGCUUAAGUGCCAUAACGAGCGCAACCCCCAUCGACAGUUGCUAACGGGUAGAGCCGAGGACUCUGUCGAGACUGCCGGCGCAAGCUGCGAGGAAGGCGGGGAUGACGUCAAAUCAGCACGGCCCUUACGUCCGGGGCGACACACGUGUUACAAUGGCCGGUACAGCGGGAUGCCAGGGCGCGAGCCCGAGCGGAACCCGAAAACCGGUCUCAGUUCGGAUUGGAGUCUGCAACCCGACUCCAUGAAGCUGGAUUCGCUAGUAAUCGCGCAUCAGCCACGGCGCGGUGAAUACGUUCCCGGGCCUUG
Molecule: ribosomal RNA, 1356 nt
Filed under: uncultured bacterium
Lineage: Bacteria
Description: bacterial SSU rRNA
Rfam family: Bacterial small subunit ribosomal RNA
Source: RNAcentral